AGAUAUAUAGCUCAGUGGUAGAGUGCUGGCUUAGCAUGCAGGAGGUGCUGGGUUCAAUCCCUAGUACCUCCA
Molecule: transfer RNA, 72 nt
Filed under: Camelus bactrianus (Bactrian camel)
Lineage: Eukaryota; Metazoa; Chordata; Mammalia; Artiodactyla; Camelidae
Also listed under: 1 other name
Rfam family: tRNA
About the family: Transfer RNA (tRNA) molecules are approximately 80 nucleotides in length.
Source: Rfam by way of RNAcentral